GCUAUUUGCUCUUCUUUAUUUGUUUUCUCCUCCGGGGAAGAAGGCGGAAAACGGAGAGAAAGGGAAAGGGAAAGAAGCGGCGCCGGCCGCGACGCUCGGUGCCCGCCGGCUGCGCAGGAGCGAGGCGGGAGGCGAGAAGAGCCAGCGUCACUUUUUCCUGGUGGUCUGAGCUAAAGAGAAAAACCCGGUCGCAUUACCCAAGCUUCCAAAGUGGGAGGAGUGUGAAAUGUACGCACUUCUCCAGGAUGGAGAGAGGACGCUUCUUUAUUCCGGGGAACUCAACUCAUUUGCCUAGGAACCUCCAUUCCCACUUGAUGUUGCCCAUGAAAGCAUGGAGCCUGAUGUGGGGCUCAGUCUCAUGACCCUGAGAUCACCACCCCAAGAUCUCGACCUGAGCCAAACCCGAGAUUGCUCCACCAACUGUGCCACCGAGGUGCCACCUUGUUAGAUUAUUUUUGUAAUUUAAAGAACAAGGGGGCCAAGAGAAAUGAUGUAUACAGAUAGUUCCGAAAAAAUAAUCCAUACAUAAAGCAAAUGUAGCCAAAUGUUAAAAACUGGUGAAUUAGGGUGACGGAUACAUGGGAGUUCUAACAACUCACCUGUAAAUUUAGAAAUUAUUUCAAAAUACAAAGUUUUUAAAGAA
Molecule: long non-coding RNA, 643 nt
Organism: Lutra lutra (Eurasian river otter)
Lineage: Eukaryota; Metazoa; Chordata; Mammalia; Carnivora; Mustelidae
Exons: 3
Source: RefSeq, a predicted model, not a curated record